UCCUCACAUCAUUCAGCCUUCACAGAA
Molecule: non-coding RNA, 27 nt
Filed under: Homo sapiens (human)
Lineage: Eukaryota; Metazoa; Chordata; Mammalia; Primates; Hominidae
Source: RNAcentral